Molecule: non-coding RNA, 423 nt
Organism: Scomber japonicus (chub mackerel)
Lineage: Eukaryota; Metazoa; Chordata; Actinopteri; Scombriformes; Scombridae
Source: the annotation of a RefSeq genome assembly
GUUAAUCUGCUCCUUGUGUGUCUCUGCUCUCCCCUCCAGCUGGCUCCAUGGUCAGGCCCUCAGUCUCUCUGCUUCCCCCCUCCUCUGAGCAGCUCUCUGGGGGCUCGGCCACGCUGGCCUGCCUGCUGAGCGGCUACGCUCCUCAGGGAGCCGUGGUGAGCUGGGAGGUGGACGGUACAGAGGUGACAGAGGGGGUCCUGAGCAGCUCAGAGGAGGAGAAGAGCGGACGCUACAGCAGCAGCAGCACCCUGAGCCUGAGCCAGGAGCGCUGGAUGAAAGGAGAGCUGUACUCCUGCAGGGUCCUCCAUCAUGACCACAGCCAGAUCCAGUCCCUCCGCAGGAGCAAGUGUUAGGUGUAGAGGGGCUGGCUGAAGACCAGGACAGGAGCUGUGUGUGGGGGGAGCAGGAGGAACACACCUGCUG